CAAUUGUAAAGCGGGUAUAAAGGAAAUAUUUAGAAUAAAGCCAAUAUAUAAACUUCCUUUCCGUAUAGACGUAUUUACGUCAAAUUCUCCGGAACCGUGGUUCCACUGACAACUUUUUUUUGUUUGAGUAGGCUGUGGAAUUUAUAAGUGUGUGAGAGCUGUAGGUAGCGCUGUUUCGAUGUCUGCGUGACCUGCUUCCCAGUGAAGUUGCCACUUUGUUAUUCAAUAACUUGUUGACGAAAGACUCUCGGGUUACAAGCCGCGCCAGGUGGCUGGACGGUGAACGGACCGUAUCCUCUGUUUGCCGUUCGGCCACCUGACGCGCCUUGUAGCCCGAGAACUUUCAUCAACUUCAGUCACCGUGAAAGCUUCACCUCACGCAAUAACUUGUUUCUUACCGUGCCAUAUGUAAGCAGUUUGGAAUAGUGCUUAUGUUUCAGUUGUAGUGAAGUUAUGUUCGUGCUUAUAGAGUCACCAGCCCACAAACUAGCAGUUGCAGUCUGUGGGUUGUGAGAUCUGUGAUCUGUCGGCAUGCCCAGAUGUAGAACUUGAGGCUAAAAGAACGUACGUUUCACAUUACAUGUUAGAGUACAAUGGUGCAAUAAAGGUUUAUUAUUGAUACUUAUAAAACUGCCCUUCCACUGAGGAUUUAAUCAACUGGAAGGGAGUUUAAUCAAGAUUCAAAAUUAUUCAUAUACCUUUCAAUCUGUCAAGGUGUCUUGUACAUUUGUUUGUAAAUGUUCAAGCAAAAAUAUGCACAUCACAAAGAAACUUAUUGAAAAUGGGCACAAACAACUUUUGCUUGAUUUGUGACAUUUAAAAGGAUCUUAACGUAAAAUGACCAGUCACAAUGAAUAAACUGAUAUAAGGUAGACCAGACACCUGAGGAUUAAAAUUUGUAUUCAGAAAAGGUCUAGUUUGUGUGGUAAUCAAUAAAGCCAUCAGCGUGUUGUCAUAUCAAGUAAAAUGGCUUCUUGUAAAAUUCAGUAUCGAGAAAAGUUAAUUUCUGGUAGUUCUGUUUAAAUUGUUAUGCUCCUUAUUAACAGUGUAUGAAAUUUCAACAACAGAUUAUUAUUAAACGGUAGAAAUUCAUCAGCAUUAUAAAGGGAAUGCUUUUAAGUGUCUUUUUCAUGCAACUUUAAAUUGUCCUUUAUUAUGUGUUCUUUACACAGAGUGCAUGAAAUCAACACAAAAAGGGCUGAUCCUUUCUGCCUAUCCGCACAGUUCAAUUCCAGAACUGCUGGACAGAUUUGGAUGAAAUUUGGUAUAGACAUUAUUCCAUUGCUACUUUAACAUUUUCUACUGUCAGUAAUGCCGUGGUGGACGAAGAGACUUACGAGGUGUAGCUGUGGCACCACUUAACGGUAGGGUCAUGCAGUGAUGUGUGAUGAUAGAUUUUUUUUUAAUUUGAAACAUUUGUGUAAUAAUUCUUUUAUAAUGUAAAAUGAUAACAUGGUGCCUGCAUGUAAAAGAAUAUUUACCAGGAUUUAAUCCUGUGUACAUGAGCAGUAAACUACCACAGAGCCAACCCACUCUGUGAUGUAUCGAUGUUGAUUUGUGGUACUUAAAGAAGGCUUUAAGAUGACGUGGGUUGUAUAGUUGGAAACUCAAGUUAUCCAAGUAAAAUAACUGACGUACUGUUUUAUUACUGAUUCAGAAUUUGCACAAAAGAAGUGUAUUCAGGUACGGAGAAUGCCUUUCUGGUCUUGUUAUUAAUAAUACUUCUGAGACAGAAUGGGUGACUGUUAAAAAUUUUAUGCCACAUUGUGUAAUUUUCUGUAAAAUUGGUGCAUAUUGACAUGAACCUUGUUCAAGACAGACAGACAGACCUAGAAUUCACUUCAAAUGUGACCCACAUAGGUUAUGACAAAGAUAACUUGCCAAGUGUUUAAAACUACUCUACACACACACACAGUUUAUUAGUUUACAAAUACUGAAUAAUGUAGAUGCAAGGUCCAGUUUUGUCUAGUAUAUUAUGUUCAUUUGUGUUGUUUACUCACUCAAAUUUAAAAAAAAUUGUAUACAUUAUUUUGUUUUCUUUAAUUGUAUGAACUAACAAAUACCACAGAGGAGAUUACUGUUGAGGAGGUAAAGUCGCUCAUGCACUGAAACCCCCAAUUUUCAUAAAACCAAAGGGGUCGUUACCAGAUCCUGAAUGAUGUGAAUCUAGUCCACGUAACCACAUCUCGUUGCUUUAUAUCAAUU
Molecule: non-coding RNA, 2205 nt
Organism: Zootermopsis nevadensis
Lineage: Eukaryota; Metazoa; Arthropoda; Insecta; Blattodea; Termopsidae
Source: RefSeq, a predicted model, not a curated record